UGUGGCCUACGGGGGGCAGCAGUGGGGAAUAUUGCGCAAUGGGCGAAAGCCUGACGCAGCGACGCCGCAUGAGGGAUGAAGGUCUUCGGAUCGUAAACCUCUGUCAGCAGGGAAGAACGGUCACUGUGCUAAUCAGCAGUGAAUUGACGGUACCUGCAAAGGAAGCACCGGCUAACUCCGUGCCAGCAGCCGCGGUAAUACGGAGGGUGCAAGCGUUAUCCGGAUUUACUGGGUGUAA
RNAcentral lists this ribosomal RNA (238 nucleotides) under uncultured bacterium. Its description in RNAcentral is "partial 16S ribosomal RNA". It matches the Rfam family "Bacterial small subunit ribosomal RNA", at positions 333 to 563 of the family's 1533-position model. The record is from RNAcentral.